RNAcentral lists this ribosomal RNA (253 nucleotides) under uncultured bacterium. Its description in RNAcentral is "partial 16S ribosomal RNA". It matches the Rfam family "Bacterial small subunit ribosomal RNA", at positions 524 to 776 of the family's 1533-position model. The record is from RNAcentral.
UACGAAGGGGGCAAGCGUUGUUCGGAAUUACUGGGCGUAAAGGGCGCGCAGGCGGUUCAGCAAGUCAGAUGUGAAAGCCCCGGGCUCAACCUGGGAAUAGCAUUUGGGACUGCUGGACUCGAGUUCGGGAGAGGAGAGUGGAAUUCCCAGUGUAGAGGUGAAAUUCGUAGAUAUUGGGAAGAACACCAGUGGCGAAGGCGGCUCUCUGGACCGAUACUGACGCUGAGGCGCGAAAGCGUGGGGAGCAAACAGG